Molecule: ribosomal RNA, 445 nt
Filed under: uncultured bacterium
Lineage: Bacteria
Description: partial 16S ribosomal RNA
Rfam family: Bacterial small subunit ribosomal RNA
Source: RNAcentral
AACGAACGCUGGCGGCAUGCUUAACACAUGCAAGUCGAACGAGCAGGCGGCUUCGUUCCCCGAUGCUCGUGGCGCACGGGUGAGUAACACGCGGGAAUAUGCUCCUUUGUACGGAAUAACCACGUGAAGCUUUUGCUGCUACUAUAUACGCCCUUCGCCGGCAAGAUUUAUCGCUAUAGGAUUAGCCCGCGUCUGAUUAGGUAGUUGGUGCGGUACUGGCUCACCAAGCGGUCGUUCAGUAGCUGGUCUGAGAGGAUGACCAGCCACACUGGGACUGAGACCCGGCCCCGACUCCGACGGAGGGCAGCGGUGGAGAGUAUUAGACGAGGAGGGCAGCCCUGAUCCAGCCACGCCGGGUGAGUGAGGCAGCCCUUCGGAUUGUAAAGCUCUUUGGACCGAGACGAUGAUGACGGUACCCGGAUAAGAAGCCCCGGCAAACUUCGUG